RNAcentral lists this ribosomal RNA (954 nucleotides) under Loigolactobacillus coryniformis. RNAcentral's name for it is "bacterial SSU rRNA". It matches the Rfam family "Bacterial small subunit ribosomal RNA", at positions 382 to 1329 of the family's 1533-position model. Lineage: Bacteria; Bacillati; Bacillota; Bacilli; Lactobacillales; Lactobacillaceae. The record is from RNAcentral.
UCUGAUGGAGCAACGCCGCGUGAGUGAAGAAGGUUUUAGGAUCGUAAAACUCUGUUGUUGGAGAAGAACAGGGACUAGAGUAACUGUUAGUCCUUUGACGGUAUCCAACCAGAAAGCCACGGCUAACUACGUGCCAGCAGCCGCGGUAAUACGUAGGUGGCAAGCGUUGUCCGGAUUUAUUGGGCGUAAAGCGAGCGCAGGCGGUUUUUUAAGUCUGAUGUGAAAGCCUUCGGCUUAACCGAAGAAGUGCAUUAGAAACUGGGAAACUUGAGUGCAGAAGAGGACAGUGGAACUCCAUGUGUAGCGGUGAAAUGCGUAGAUAUAUGGAAGAACACCAGUGGCGAAGGCGGCUGUCUGGUCUGUAACUGACGCUGAGGCUCGAAAGUAUGGGGAGCGAACAGGAUUAGAUACCCUGGUAGUCCAUACCGUAAACGAUGAAUGCUAAGUGUUGGAGGGUUUCCGCCCUUCAGUGCUGCAGCUAACGCAUUAAGCAUUCCGCCUGGGGAGUACGACCGCAAGGUUGAAACUCAAAGGAAUUGACGGGGGCCCGCACAAGCGGUGGAGCAUGUGGUUUAAUUCGAAGCAACGCGAAGAACCUUACCAGGUCUUGACAUCCUUUGACCACUGUAGAGAUACAGCUUUCCCUUCGGGGACAAAGUGACAGGUGGUGCAUGGUUGUCGUCAGCUCGUGUCGUGAGAUGUUGGGUUAAGUCCCGCAACGAGCGCAACCCUUAUGACUAGUUGCCAGCAUUUAGUUGGGCACUCUAGUAAGACUGCCGGUGACAAACCGGAGGAAGGUGGGGAUGACGUCAAAUCAGCAUGCCCCUUAUGACCUGGGCUACACACGUGCUACAAUGGUCGGUACAACGAGUUGCGAACCCGCGAGGGUAAGCUAAUCUCUUAAAGCCGAUCUCAGUUCGGAUUGUAGGCUGCAACUCGCCUACAUGAAGCCGG